This 1488-nucleotide long non-coding RNA is filed under the name Sus scrofa (pig). Its description in RNAcentral is "lncRNA (ENSSSCG00000047066.1)". The record is from RNAcentral. Lineage: Eukaryota; Metazoa; Chordata; Mammalia; Artiodactyla; Suidae.
AUGCAAAAUACUUCCAAAGGUACAAAUUUGAAAACUCAGAAUCCUGAAACCCAAUCACUCAUCUUUCUCAUUCCUAAAAUUUUUACCUUAGCAGUGGUUACCUGAUAGUUUAGAACACUUUAGAUUUGGGAGGAGGGAAGAAAAAAAAAAGGCUCUUAUUUUGGGGUUUUGAUGUCCCAGUGGAUCUGCGUCUAUUUCUUUUCCGUGUAUAUUUCUUCUUCUCUAUAAAUACAUUUAAAUAGACUAAACACCUCCUUUGGCAGUUACUUCAUCAAAACAUGGAAAACAUGCUAUGGCUGAGCAUGGAUUUAUUUAGAGACUUGCAAACAGUGUUCCGGAAGCCCUGUGCGGUUGGGAUGGGCUGGGUUUUCUCAGCCUUCAGACGGGCGGGAGUUCCUGUCACUGGAUUCACAGUUCACAGCUGUACACGCUCCUGGUUAUCAAGGGGGUGACCUAGGUGCUGGCUGCAGAGAAUAAGACACUGAACCUGCUGGACACACACACACACACACACACACACCACACACACACACACACACACACACCUGAUGCCGUCACACACACACACACACACACACACACACCUGAUGCCGCCGGAGUCCUUGAGAUGCCCCAUCCCAUUUGUUCUUACUCAUGCCAACCCUAGGCUUGGGCUAACUAGUUAUUUUCCUACACUCUAGCAAGUAGCACUGAGAACCAUAGAGCCUUUCUGAAAUAAUUCGAACAGGAUUGUUUCUCAUGGUCUUCUCGGCAGUGGAUGAUGGCCUUUAGUGCCUCAGCUCUGCAUUUCCAACCCUCCAUCUUCUCGAACCUGAUGAGAUUCUGUAUGUCUGGUCGGAAGCAGGUGGAGUGGCGUCUGGCCCUGCAGAGUUGCUGAGAGGGGCAGGACGUGAGCUGGGGGUCCCUUAAAGGAUUAAGGGAGCUGCCCUUAACCAUUUGACCUCCAGGCCAUGUGACGAGAGCCACCUUCUGUUGUCGGUCUCUCUCUCUCUUUUUUUUUUUUUUUCUUUUUAGGGCCGCACCUUCAGCAUGUGGAGGUUCCCAGGCUAGGGGUCUAAUCAGUGCUAUAACCACCGGUCUACGCCAGAGCCACAGCAGCACCAGCUCUGAGCCACGUCUGCGAACUACACCACAGCUCAUGGCAAUGCCGGAUCCUUAACCCACUGAUCGAGGCCAGGUAUUGAACCUGCAACCUCAUGGUUCCUAGUCGGAUUCGUUUCCCCUGCGCCUCAACGGGAACUCCUUUUUUUUUCUUUUUUCUAAAUCGAGCUGUACCCACAGCAUAUGAAAUUCCCAGGCUACGGAUGAACUGGAGCUGCAGCUGUCAGCCUACACCACAGCCAUAGCAAUGCUGGAUCCAAACCGAGUCUUUGAACUAUACUGCAACUCCUGGCAACACUGGAUCCUUAACCUGCUCAAAGAGGCCAGGGAUCGAACCUGCAUCCUCAUGGAUACUAGUCGGGUUCAUAACCUGCUGAACCACAGUGG